UCCCACCUGAAAGUGAAAAUGCUGCUACUAGUGUGUAAAGAGGAGGAAGUGAGAGAAGUUCAAACCCAGAUCAGAGAGGAGGAGGAGAGAUUCAGGGAGGAGCUGAGCUGUUACUGAACUAGAAGAGAGAGAAACCUCCACAUUCAACAGAGUUCAGCACACAAACCAUAAACUUUACCUUCAUUCAACAUGUUGUCUUUGGACUAUUAUGCACUUUCUUUACUGAUUCUCACCAUUCUAACAGGUGUCAGCUGUGAAGAUCUCACUCCAACCAACAAAGAAGUGUUCAGUGUAGAAGGCAGCACUGUUACUCUGUCCUAUAGAUACUCCAAAGCUGCUGAUGGUAGAGAUUCCUUCUUCUGGUAUCGACAAUAUCCUGGAAAAUCACCAGAGUUCCUGAUCUCUCACUUUAGAACAGGAGAGAUAAUAUUAAAUCCAGUCUCAGGAUUAACUACUGGAUCCUCUGAGGAUUUACUGACACCAUCUAAAGAUGUAGUGAUGAGUUUGGAAGGAGACACUGUGACUCUCUCCUGCAAAUAUUCAGGCUCUGAAACUUACUUCUUCUGGUACAAACAGAAACCUAAUUCACAUCCAGACUUUCUCAUCGCCUACUAUUCAGACAAAACAGAAAGGAUGAAGUUUAUACAUGACAAUCAAAAAAAGGAGUUUCAUCUGGAGAUCUCCUCUGCUGCAGUGACAGACUCUGCUGUGUACUACUGUGCUGUGAGGCCCACAGUG
This is a non-coding RNA of Oreochromis aureus, 738 nucleotides long. NCBI's taxonomy places the organism in Eukaryota, Metazoa, Chordata, Actinopteri, Cichliformes, Cichlidae. The record is from the annotation of a RefSeq genome assembly.